UCGUGUCGAUAUCCGAUA
RNAcentral lists this non-coding RNA (18 nucleotides) under Arabidopsis thaliana (thale cress). Lineage: Eukaryota; Viridiplantae; Streptophyta; Magnoliopsida; Brassicales; Brassicaceae. The record is from RNAcentral.